Molecule: ribosomal RNA, 253 nt
Filed under: uncultured bacterium
Lineage: Bacteria
Description: partial 16S ribosomal RNA
Rfam family: Bacterial small subunit ribosomal RNA
Source: RNAcentral
UACGUAGGGUGCAAGCGUUGUCCGGAAUUAUUGGGCGUAAAGAGCUCGUAGGCGGUUUGUUGCGUCGGCUGUGAAAUCCCGAGGCUCAACCUCGGGUCUGCAGUCGAUACGAGCAAACUAGAGUGUUGCAGGGGAGACUGGAAUUCCUGGUGUAGCGGUGAAAUGCGCAGAUAUCGGGAGGAACACCAGUAGCGAAGGCGGCUCGCUGGGCCAUUCCUGACGCUGAGACGCGAAAGCUAGGGGAGCGAACAGG